RNAcentral lists this ribosomal RNA (513 nucleotides) under uncultured bacterium. RNAcentral's name for it is "partial 16S ribosomal RNA". It matches the Rfam family "Bacterial small subunit ribosomal RNA", at positions 29 to 523 of the family's 1533-position model. The record is from RNAcentral.
AACGAACGCUGGCGGCGUGCCUAACACAUGCAAGUCGAGCGCGAAAAGGGCAACCUGAGUAGAGCGGCGCACGGGUGCGUAACACGUGGGUAAUCUGCCUUAGAGUCGAGGAUAACCUUCCGAAAGGUUGGCUAAUACUCGGUAAGCUUACGGUGUCUUCGGACGCUGUGGGAAAAGUAGGCCUCUGUUUACAAGCUUACGCUCUUAGAUGAGCCCGCGGCCCAUCAGCUAGUUGGCGGUGUAACGGACCACCAAGGCAACGACGGGUAGCUGGUCUGAGAGGACGAUCAGCCACACUGGAGCUGAGACACGGUCCAGACUCCUACGGGAGGCAGCAGUGGGGAAUUUUCCACAAUGGGCGAAAGCCUGAUGGAGCAACGCAGCGUGUGUGAUGAAGGUUUUCGGAUCGUAAAGCACUUUCGACCGGGACGAAAAACCUCUGGCUAACAUCCAGGGGCCUGACGGUACCGGGAGAAGAAGCACCGGCUAACUCUGUGCCAGCCGCCGCAGUAA